GAGGUAACGCGUGGGUAACCUGCCUCAUACAGGGGGAUAACAGUAGAAAUGACUGCUAACACCGCAUAAUAUAGCGAAACCGCAUGAUUUUGCUAAUCAAAUAGUUUAUAGGUAUGAGAUGGGCCCGCGUCUGAUUAGCUAGUUGGUGGGGUAAAAGCCUACCAAGGCGACGAUCAGUAGCCGGCUUGAGAGAGUGACCGGCCACAGUUGGGACUGAGACACGGCCCAAACUCCUACGGGAGGCAGCAGUGGGGAAUAUUGGACAAUGGGGGAAACCCUGAUCCAGCCGACGCCGCGUGAGUGAAGAAGUAUUUCGGUAUGUAAAGCUCUAUCAGCAGGGAAGAUAAUGACAGUACCUGACUAAGAAGCCCCGGCUAACUACGUGCCAGCCGCCGC
RNAcentral lists this ribosomal RNA (396 nucleotides) under uncultured bacterium. RNAcentral describes it as "bacterial SSU rRNA". It matches the Rfam family "Bacterial small subunit ribosomal RNA", at positions 108 to 518 of the family's 1533-position model. The record is from RNAcentral.